Molecule: ribosomal RNA, 301 nt
Filed under: uncultured bacterium
Lineage: Bacteria
Description: partial 16S ribosomal RNA
Rfam family: Bacterial small subunit ribosomal RNA
Source: RNAcentral
CAGCCGCCGCGGUAAAACGGAGGGUGCAAGCGUUAAUCGGAAUUACUGGGCGUAAAGCGUGCGUAGGCGGUUCGUUAAGUCUGUUGUGAAAGCCCCGGGCUCAACCUGGGAAUGGCAAUGGAUACUGGCGAGCUAGAGUGUGUCAGAGGAUGGCGGAAUUCCCGGUGUAGCGGUGAAAUGCGUAGAGAUCGGGAGGAACAUCAGUGGCGAAGGCGGCCAUCUGGGACAACACUGACGCUGAGGCACGAAAGCGUGGGGAGCAAACAGGAUUAGAUACCCGUGUAGUCCCUGUCUCUUAUAC